Molecule: small RNA, 187 nt
Filed under: Streptococcus henryi
Lineage: Bacteria; Bacillati; Bacillota; Bacilli; Lactobacillales; Streptococcaceae
Description: Listeria sRNA rli28
Rfam family: Listeria sRNA rli28
Source: Rfam by way of RNAcentral
AUGAAUAUGUUAAAAUAGAGGGGUAGAAAAGUGAAGACGGUGGCUCUGGAUUUUCUGAGAGAGGGGUGAUGCCUAUGGGCAAUUCAUCAAAAUCUGACGGGAAGGAGGAGCAUCUUUUGACAGCUUUUGAAGUUGUGCAAACUAUUCUAGGCUUUAGUAGUUUUACUAUUGCGUUGAUUGGCUUGUG